Molecule: long non-coding RNA, 1851 nt
Organism: Athalia rosae (coleseed sawfly)
Lineage: Eukaryota; Metazoa; Arthropoda; Insecta; Hymenoptera; Athaliidae
Exons: 2
Source: RefSeq, a predicted model, not a curated record
UUGCUAAAUUCCGAGGCCAUGUACUUUCAUCAAAUGUAAAUUCUCUUAUGGUAAAUUGGAGAGUAUUUGCUGAACCCAUUGUCAAUUGAAUCGCGAAAUUGAAAUGAAAUAUCUGUCUCCAAGAAACGAAAACUAUAAAUGAUCGACGCCCAUGUCGUUACAAUUAUUCAAGGCUUUGUCAAUUUAAUUGAACAAUUUUAUAAGAAAUAUUUACCACUGGAAUAACUAUUCGUUGACUCAAGUUUAAAUAUAUACCCAACAUCUGGGCAGUUUGCUACCGGUACAAGUAGUUGUAUCACAUCCCCUACGUGUAAAGUUCUUCAUUACAAUUUUUGAAAGUGGAUCAUUGUCUGCAUUAUGAUUUUUUUCACAUAUGUUGUAAUAUGAAAUGGGAAUUGUCAUUUCGCGUGCAGUCUUGAAAAAGAGAUCAUCGGAGAGGUCAAAAAAUAGAUGAGUGUCACAAUCCAUGCCCUAGCGCAAACGGACAUCGGAUGAGCCAGGAGAAUUUAUCGCCUACGACCGCGACGUAAGGUGCUGACCUUGUGCUUUUUUCCGGAAUAAAACCAAGCAUAUGUAGGUAUAUUUAUAUGUAAAUAUAUACAAAUAUCUGUAUUCUUAGUUUCGAGGAAAGCAUGUAAUUAUAACGAGGAACACAUUUCAUUUACUUCUAUUAAUAAUUUAACACUUGUUUGGAAACUUUUGUAAAAUAAGCAUAGUGCAAAAAAAUAUUAUUCUAUAUGCUAUCAUAUUAAAGCACCUCAUGCAGUGACCACGUGAAAAUAAUAUCAUAGGUAUAUAAAAGUCGCAUAUGAUAGUCGUAUGAAUAAUUGCUCAAAAGAAAUAAAUGAAGAGGGUGCAAGUUUGUAGAUAUCGAUGCUUCUGCCAAAUUAAAUAUGACUCAAAGGAUGGGUAAAUAGAUGUUAAUGCUGUUAUUGUGUACGGGUAUUUUUACGCCCUCAUUCGUAUGUGUAUACGCGUUAUAGUCGAAUUUUGAUGUGUGUGGAAGGAGUAGGUGCAGAAUUUAGCACUGUAGAACAGAUGCCACUAUAGACGCUAAACUUAAAAUUGUUACAGUACGUAUUAAGCAUCAAGAAUUAGCGAAGACGUUUGUCAUCUCCAGCUCUGAGUAGGUCGAGAUAUUUUUCAUUUGGUUCGUAGCUAGGUCAGUAGGUCCCGACGCCACGAUCUGCAAGAUUUUUUUGUUUGAUUGGCAGAUACAUCAAAGUCAGGAGAGGUAUUUUUAAAAAAUUCCAUAUUAUUCAAAUUGGGCUGCGAAUCGAAACUUAUCAGUACAAUAAUGACCUCAGACUCGUCCUUCAAAAAUGAACGCUAAUAACUGAGAAACACGGGAAAUUCAACCGACGGUCUUUAUUCUUCCCCAAUUGUUUUACAUCAAAAAUAGGGAUGUUAGAAGCUUACACUACGAUCACAAAUUUAAAAGAAAAGUAUUUUCUACAAAUCGUGUCGACAGCUAUUGCAAGAAAUUAUUUAAAUUCAUCAUAUUCUACGAUAACUGUGUGUGAACUUCAUUGGUAACGUAUACGUGCUAUUUUAUUCGAAUUCGGGGCUUCCUCUAUCGAACUUUCAAAAUAAUGUUGUUUUCAGUUAGCCCUGCAUAUAAAUCAUAAUCUAAUAAUAUCAUUUGGCGUUCUACAUUGUCCAGUCGCGACGACAACUGACUCAGAUUUUUGUAGUAGGUGAUGGUAGGUGCAUAAAUCUUGAGGUUGAAGUAAAACCGCUAACACCACAGCCAGACCUCAAGCCAAGAUGAGAUCAUCUGUAUAAUCAACAUUGGGAUAUAUGUGCUAUAAUUGCGGCUUCGGAUCGCAUUUUUUUUUUUUUUUUUGCAUC